This 443-nucleotide ribosomal RNA is filed under the name Pectobacterium carotovorum. RNAcentral describes it as "bacterial SSU rRNA". It matches the Rfam family "Bacterial small subunit ribosomal RNA", at positions 338 to 795 of the family's 1533-position model. The record is from RNAcentral. Lineage: Bacteria; Pseudomonadati; Pseudomonadota; Gammaproteobacteria; Enterobacterales; Pectobacteriaceae.
CCUACGGGAGGCAGCAGUGGGGAAUUUUCCGCAAUGGGCGAAAGCCUGACGGAGCAAUCUCGCGUGAGGGAUGACGGCCUAUGGGUUGUAAACCUCUUUUUUCAGGGAGGAAUCAAUGACGUGUACCUGAAGAAUAAGCAUCGGCUAACUCCGUGCCAGCAGCCGCGGUAAGACGGAGGAUGCAAGUGUUAUCCGGAAUCACUGGGCGUAAAGCGUCUGUAGGUGGUUUAAUAAGUCAACUGUUAAAUCUUGAGGCUCAACUUCAAAAUCGCAGUCGAAACUAUUAGACUAGAGUAUAGUAGAGGUAAAGGGAAUUUCCAGUGGAGCGGUGAAAUGCGUAGAUAUUGGAAAGAACACCGAUGGCGAAAGCACUUUACUGGGCUAUUACUAACACUCAGAGACGAAAGCUAGGGUAGCAAAUGGGAUUAGAUACCCUGGUAGUC